Molecule: long non-coding RNA, 883 nt
Filed under: Citrus sinensis (sweet orange)
Lineage: Eukaryota; Viridiplantae; Streptophyta; Magnoliopsida; Sapindales; Rutaceae
Description: long non-coding RNA (CSIN_LNC003153)
Source: RNAcentral
UUCAUACACAAACGAUUAUAUUAUUAUCAAGGGAAUCAAUAUCAUUAUAGCAAGAUUAUAAAUAAAUAUACAAAAGGAUUACCUCACAAUAAUAUAUAAAUAUAUUCACGGAGGAAAAAUUUCGUACAAAAACUUGGACUCCGUACUCUCCAUGAUGAGACAAGCGCGGACCAAAAAGUAAAAAAGGCACUGAUGAUCCAAGAAUUGACUCAGAUAACGAAGAGAAGAGCCUAAUACCACAGAAAAUACAUGGCGACGCAUUGCAUUUUCCAACUUUAAUUGGAUUAUAUUUAAUAAUAUUAUGUAAAACAUAUACAAAGGAUUUGGUGGAGGAGCAAAUGGGAGAUUGAUUAGGGGAAAAAAAGAAAAAAGUGAGAGAGAGAGAGAGAGAGAGAGAGAGAGAGAGAGAGAGAGAGAGAGAGAGAGAGAGAGAGAGAGAGAGAGAGAGAGAGAGAGAGAGAGAGAGAGAGAGAGAGAGAGAGAGAGAGAGAGAGAGAGAGAGAGAGAGAGAGAGAGAGAGAGAGAGAGAGAGAGAGAGAGAGAGAGAGAGAGAGAGAGAGAGAGAGAGAGAGAGAGAGAGAGAGAGAGAGAGAGAGAGAGAGAGAGAGAGAGAGAGAGAGAGAGAGAGAGAGAGAGAGAGAGAGAGAGAGAGAGAGAGAGAGAGAGAGAGAGAGAGAGAGAGAGAGAGAGAGAGAGAGAGAGAGAGAGAGAGAGAGAGAGAGAGAGAGAGAGAGAGAGAGAGAGAGAGAGAGAGAGAGAGAGAGAGAGAAUAAGAGAAAAAGGCAAUGGGCCUUUGCCUUAGCAUUGCUCUUUUAACACUCCACUCUAAGCUCCACCAUCCAUUUUCAUUUAACAAGAAGAAAAAGGAAAAUUGAAGGGGAAA